RNAcentral lists this ribosomal RNA (468 nucleotides) under uncultured bacterium. RNAcentral's name for it is "partial 16S ribosomal RNA". It matches the Rfam family "Bacterial small subunit ribosomal RNA", at positions 28 to 507 of the family's 1533-position model. The record is from RNAcentral.
GACGAACGCUGGCGGCGUGCUUAACACAUGCAAGUCGAACGGAAAGGCCCUGCUUUUGUGGGGUGCUCGAGUGGCGAACGGGUGAGUAACACGUGAGUAACCUGCCCUUGACUUUGGGAUAACUUCAGGAAACUGGGGCUAAUACCGGAUAGGAGCUCCUGCUGCAUGGUGGGGGUUGGAAGGUUUCGGCGGUUGGGGAUGGACUCGCGGCUUAUCAGCUUGUUGGUGGGGUAGUGGCUUACCAAGGCUUUGACGGGUAGCCGGCCUGAGAGGGUGACCGGCCACAUUGGGACUGAGAUACGGCCCAGACUCCUACGGGAGGCAGCAGUGGGGAAUAUUGCACAAUGGGCGGAAGCCUGAUGCAGCAACGCCGCGUGCGGGAUGACGGCCUUCGGGUUGUAAACCGCUUCCGCCUGUGACGAAGCGUGAGUGACGGUAAUGGGUAAAGAAGCACCGGCUAACUACGUG